CUGGGCGCUGAGAGAUUGGCGCUGAAUACCAUGGAGAAGUCAGCAGAAGGCAUAGUAGGCGGGUGGCACCGCCGAAGGCC
This 80-nucleotide non-coding RNA is filed under the name Candidatus Nitrotoga sp. 1052. Lineage: Bacteria; Pseudomonadati; Pseudomonadota; Betaproteobacteria; Nitrosomonadales; Gallionellaceae. The record is from RNAcentral.